GAUGAACGCUGGCGGCGUGCUUAACACAUGCAAGUCGAACGGAGUGCCUUAGAAAGAGGAUUCGUCCAAUUGAUAAGGUUACUUAGUGGCGGACGGGUGAGUAACGCGUGAGGAACCUGCCUCGGAGUGGGGAAUAACAGACCGAAAGGCCUGCUAAUACCGCAUGAUGCAGUUGGACCGCAUGGUCCUGACUGCCAAAGAUUUAUCGCUCUGAGAUGGCCUCGCGUCUGAUUAGCUUGUUGGCGGGGUAAUGGCCCACCAAGGCGACGAUCAGUAGCCGGACUGAGAGGUUGGCCGGCCACAUUGGGACUGAGACACGGCCCAG
RNAcentral lists this ribosomal RNA (325 nucleotides) under uncultured bacterium. Its description in RNAcentral is "bacterial SSU rRNA". It matches the Rfam family "Bacterial small subunit ribosomal RNA", at positions 28 to 334 of the family's 1533-position model. The record is from RNAcentral.